This 511-nucleotide ribosomal RNA is filed under the name uncultured bacterium. Its description in RNAcentral is "partial 16S ribosomal RNA". It matches the Rfam family "Bacterial small subunit ribosomal RNA", at positions 28 to 523 of the family's 1533-position model. The record is from RNAcentral.
GACGAACGCUGGCGGCGUGCCUAAUACAUGCAUGUAGAACGCUGAAGGAGGAGCUUACUUCUCUGGAUGAGUUGCGAACGGGUGAGUAACGCGUAGGUAACCUGCCUGGUAGCGGGGGAUAACUAUUGGAAACGAUAGCUAAUACCGCAUAAGAGUAGAUGUUGCAUGACAUUUACUUAAAAGGUGCAAUUGCACCACUACCAGAUGGACCUGCGUUGUAUUAGCUAGUUGGUGGGGUAACGGCUUACCAAGGCGACGAUACAUAGCCGACCUGAGAGGGUGAUCGGCCACACUGGGACUGAGACACGGCCCAGACUCCUACGGGAGGCAGCAGUAGGGAAUCUUCGGCAAUGGACGGAAGUCUGACCGAGCAACGCCGCGUGAGUUAAGAAGGUUUUCGGAUCGUAAAGCUCUGUUGUAAGAGAAGAACGAGUGUGAGAGUGGAAAGUUCACACUGUGACGGUAUCUUACCAGAAAGGGACGGCUUACUACGUGCCAGCCGCCGCCGUAA